CCGGAUUCUGGGGAUCCACGUGCUACAAUGGGCAGAACAAAGGGCAGCGAAGCCAGCGAGGCUAAGCCUAUCCCACAAAUCUGUUCUCAGUUCGGAUCUGCAGUCUGCAACUCGACUGCGUGAAGCUGGAAUCGCUAGUAAUCGCGGAUCAGCAUGCCGCGGUGAAUACGUUCCCGGGCCUUGUACACACCGCCCGUCACACCACGAGAGUUUGUAACACCCGAAGUCGGUGAGGUAACCUUUUGGAGCCAGCCGCCGAAGGUGGGACAGAUGAUUGGGGUGAAGUCGUAACAAGGUAGCCGUAUCGGAAGGUGCGGUUGGAUCACCUCCUAUAAGGGGCAUGUCAUCCGGGUGACCGGUUUUAUUGGGGCAUAUGGGUUGGGGGCUAGGGGGGGGUGCUGGGGGGGUGGUGGGGC
This 416-nucleotide ribosomal RNA is filed under the name uncultured Bacillus sp. RNAcentral's name for it is "bacterial SSU rRNA". The stretch from base 1 to 333 matches the Rfam family "Bacterial small subunit ribosomal RNA", at positions 1200 to 1533 of the family's 1533-position model. The record is from RNAcentral. Lineage: Bacteria; Bacillati; Bacillota; Bacilli; Caryophanales; Bacillaceae.